CCCUUAGAUGUUCUGGGCCGCACGCGCGCUACACUGAUGCAUUCAACGAGUUUCUUCCUGGUCCGAGAGGAAUGGGUAACCUUUCGAAAGUGCAUCGUGAUAGGGAUAGACUAUUGCAAUUAUUGGUCUUCAACGAGGAAUUCCUAGUAGACGUAGUUCAUCAGACUGCAUCGAUUACGUCCCUGCCCUUUGUACACACCGCCCGUCGCUCCUACCGAUUGAAUGCUCAGGUGAGCCAUUCGGACUUUCAUCAUGCUGGUUUCCAGUUUUGAUGAAGGAAAGUCUUGCGAACCUUAUCAUUUAGAGGAAGGAGAAGUCGUAACA
RNAcentral lists this ribosomal RNA (324 nucleotides) under uncultured eukaryote. RNAcentral describes it as "partial 18S ribosomal RNA". It matches the Rfam family "Eukaryotic small subunit ribosomal RNA", at positions 1470 to 1796 of the family's 1831-position model. The record is from RNAcentral.